Molecule: ribosomal RNA, 525 nt
Filed under: Odontosyllis detecta
Lineage: Eukaryota; Metazoa; Annelida; Polychaeta; Phyllodocida; Syllidae
Description: partial 16S ribosomal RNA
Rfam family: Bacterial large subunit ribosomal RNA
Source: RNAcentral
UCGCCUGUUUAUCAAAAACAUAGCCUCUUGCAGUAAUAUAAGAGGUGAAUUCUGCCCAGUGAUAUUUUCAACGGCCGCGGUAUCCUGACCGUGCAAAGGUAGCAUAAUCAUUUGCCCUUUAAUUAGGGGCUAGAAUGAAGGAAUAAACAAAUUUUACCUGUCUCUCUAUAAUUUUUAAAAAUUAACCUUUAAGUGAAGAGGCUUAAAUUUCAAUAAAAGACAAGAAGACCCUAAUAAGCUUCAUUUUAUUAGUAUCAUAUUAAUACUUUAUUAAAUUUUAUUGGGGCAAUAUUUUAUGAUGAAAAUCAUUUUAUCAAAAAAGAUACAACAUAUCUAAAUACAAAACUUUUUAUAAAAAAGACAAAGCUACUAUAGGGAUAACAGGCUAAUACUUUUCAAAAGCUCUUAUUAACAAAAGUGUUUGGCACCUCGAUGUUGGCUUGGGGAACCUAUUAUGUGCAGAAGCAUAAAAAGGUGGUUUGUUCAACCAAUAACUCCCUACAUGAUCUGAGUUCAAACCGGAGA